This 615-nucleotide long non-coding RNA is filed under the name Sorghum bicolor (sorghum). RNAcentral's name for it is "long non-coding RNA (SBIC_LNC015765)". The record is from RNAcentral. Lineage: Eukaryota; Viridiplantae; Streptophyta; Magnoliopsida; Poales; Poaceae.
AGGUGGGUAUCUUGUACCCCUAAUUCUACUGUCGGACACUUGUCCAUUUUUACCUCUCGUCUCACUUUUUCUUUUCUUUCGAGGUUCCGGGCACUUGCCCCUUUUUAUUUCCUCGUAUCUCUUUUUUUUAGAGCACUCAUCUCUUGAGAUAAUAUAGCAAGUGGUAGUAACAAGAUAACUUGAGCAUUUAUUUCCUAGGGGAAAAACAUAAAUAUUUUUGGCCAUUCUCUCCCGGAUUAGGAGUAGAAUGUUUUUGGGUGGUUCUAGAGAUGGAAAUGAGUGGAUAUAUGUGGAUGGUACUUCCGGAGUAGAAGCAGCAUAUGUGAGUGAACGUGCAAGUGAAUCUUGAUUUUAACCACAUGACAAGCUCCUAAGGGUCUACACAGCUUGACCACACUCAAUGCUCAUAAGUAGUAAAGUAAAUGUGUAGCUCAAAGUCUAGCAAGCAUGUAUAUAUGGCUGUGGUAGGAAUUUAAACUCUCAUCAUACAGGAACUCAUCAUGCAAUAUUUUAAAGAUUUUCAAAGAUAAAAUUCUCUAGAAUUCUAGCAUCUCUAGGAACAGAUAAACAGCAGCUCAACCUUACUAUAUCGUAUCCGUUAACAACUUAGACUUC